CUCCGAAUCUGUGUCUGUGACGGCUCAGAAAUGAUGAUUUCUCUGUCAUAUCUGCUAUGUGCCCUGUGUCUUUACAUUCCAGGAUCCUGUGGACAGGCUGUAAUGACUCAGACUCCAGAUCAUACGUUGGUGUCCCCAGGAGAUACAGUCUCCAUCUCAUGUACGGCCAGUGAAAGUAUAUUCCAUUCAGUAUGGAAGUAUGACGCCUUAGCCUGGUUUCAGCAGAAAGCAGGACAACCUCCAAAACUAGUUAUGUAUAAAGUAUCUGAGCGACCAUCAGGAAUCCCAGAACGAUUUCAUGGAUCUGGAUCUGGAACUGAUUUCACCCUGACAAUGAAAGAGUUUACAGAAGACGAUGAAGCAGAUUAUUACUGUAUGCAGUACAGAACACGUGCUCGCACAGUGAUACAGAGCCGGACAAAAACCUCCUUCCUCUUUUUAGAAACACUACACGUGCUAUAG
Molecule: non-coding RNA, 462 nt
Organism: Bufo gargarizans (Asiatic toad)
Lineage: Eukaryota; Metazoa; Chordata; Amphibia; Anura; Bufonidae
Source: the annotation of a RefSeq genome assembly